This 274-nucleotide ribosomal RNA is filed under the name uncultured bacterium. RNAcentral's name for it is "partial 16S ribosomal RNA". It matches the Rfam family "Bacterial small subunit ribosomal RNA", at positions 523 to 796 of the family's 1533-position model. The record is from RNAcentral.
AUACGGAGGGUCCAAGCGUUAUCCGGAAUCAUUGGGUUUAAAGGGUCCGCAGGCGGUCAAUUAAGUCAGAGGUGAAAGCCCAUCGCUCAACGAUGGAACUGCCUUUGAUACUGGUUGACUUGAGUUAUACGGAAGUAGAUAGUAUAAGUAGUGUAGCGGUGAAAUGCAUAGAUAUUACUUAGAAUACCGAUUGCGAAGGCAGUCUACUACGUAUAUACUGACGCUGAGGGACGAAAGCGUGGGGAGCGAACAGGAUUAGAUACCCUAGUAGUCC